UCCGAUGGCAAGACGUUACCUUGUAUGUC
RNAcentral lists this non-coding RNA (29 nucleotides) under Rattus norvegicus (Norway rat). Lineage: Eukaryota; Metazoa; Chordata; Mammalia; Rodentia; Muridae. The record is from RNAcentral.